CCUACGGGCGGCAGCAGUGAGGAAUAUUGGUCAAUGGGCUUACGCCUGAACCAGCCAAGUCGCGUGAAGGAAGACUGCCCUAUGGGUUGUAAACCUCUUUUAUCAGGGAGUAACGCCGGCCACGUGUAGCCGGACUGAGAGUACCUGAAGAAAAAGCAUGGGCUAACUCCGUGCCAGUAGCCGGGGUAUUACGGAGGAUGCGGGGGUUAUCCGGUUUUAUUGGGUUUAAAGGAUGCGUAGGCGGAAUGUCAAGUCGUCGGUAAAAUCGGGGGGCUCAACCUCGCUCCGCAGUUGAAACUGGCGUUCUUGAGUGGGCGAGAAGUAUGCGGAAUGCGUGGUGUAGCGGUGAAAUGCAUAGAUAUCACGAAGAACUCCGAUUGCGAAGGCAGCAUACCGGCGCCCAACUGACGCUGAAGCACGAAAGCGUGGGUAUCGAACAGGAUUAGAUACCCUGGUAGUC
This 460-nucleotide ribosomal RNA is filed under the name uncultured bacterium. RNAcentral describes it as "partial 16S ribosomal RNA". It matches the Rfam family "Bacterial small subunit ribosomal RNA", at positions 338 to 795 of the family's 1533-position model. The record is from RNAcentral.